This 846-nucleotide ribosomal RNA is filed under the name Alteromonas sp. RNAcentral's name for it is "bacterial SSU rRNA". It matches the Rfam family "Bacterial small subunit ribosomal RNA", at positions 109 to 957 of the family's 1533-position model. Lineage: Bacteria; Pseudomonadati; Pseudomonadota; Gammaproteobacteria; Alteromonadales; Alteromonadaceae. The record is from RNAcentral.
AGUAAUGCUUGGGAACUUGCCUUUGCGAGGGGGAUAACAGUUGGAAACGACUGCUAAUACCGCAUAAUGUCUUCGGACCAAACGGGGCUUCGGCUCCGGCGCAAAGAGAGGCCCAAGUGAGAUUAGCUAGUUGGUGAGGUAAAGGCUCACCAAGGCAACGAUCUCUAGCUGUUCUGAGAGGAAGAUCAGCCACACUGGGACUGAGACACGGCCCAGACUCCUACGGGAGGCAGCAGUGGGGAAUAUUGCACAAUGGGGGAAACCCUGAUGCAGCCAUGCCGCGUGUGUGAAGAAGGCCUUCGGGUUGUAAAGCACUUUCAGUUGUGAGGAAAAGUUAGUAGUUAAUACCUGCUAGCCGUGACGUUAACAACAGAAGAAGCACCGGCUAACUCCGUGCCAGCAGCCGCGGUAAUACGGAGGGUGCGAGCGUUAAUCGGAAUUACUGGGCGUAAAGCGCACGCAGGCGGUUUGUUAAGCUAGAUGUGAAAGCCCCGGGCUCAACCUGGGACGGUCAUUUAGAACUGGCAGACUAGAGUCUUGGAGAGGGGAGUGGAAUUCCAGGUGUAGCGGUGAAAUGCGUAGAUAUCUGGAGGAACAUCAGUGGCGAAGGCGACUCCCUGGCCAAAGACUGACGCUCAUGUGCGAAAGUGUGGGUAGCGAACAGGAUUAGAUACCCUGGUAGUCCACACCGUAAACGCUGUCUACUAGCUGUUUGUGACUUUAAGUCGUGAGUAGCGAAGCUAACGCGAUAAGUAGACCGCCUGGGGAGUACGGCCGCAAGGUUAAAACUCAAAUGAAUUGACGGGGGCCCGCACAAGCGGUGGAGCAUGUGGUUUAAUUCGAUGC